Molecule: long non-coding RNA, 2158 nt
Filed under: Gossypium barbadense (sea-island cotton)
Lineage: Eukaryota; Viridiplantae; Streptophyta; Magnoliopsida; Malvales; Malvaceae
Description: long non-coding RNA (GBAR_LNC010303)
Source: RNAcentral
UUUAAAUUUUCGGGUUGCUUUCUUUGAAUCUGUUGACAAAAUUUCCUAGGUCUACAAACACAUGUUGUGCAAUAAUGUUUGCUAACCUCAUUCAUUUUAGCAAACCAAACCCUACGCUCAACACUACUCACCACUCCACCAUAAACCCUACACUACCAGGUCUACUUGUAACACUCCAAAAUUCAGCCCAAAAAUUUUGACCGAUUUUUGAAUAUUACAUUGGUUACCGAAAUGACUCAAAACAAAAAACACUAAUUUAAACACAUAAAAUUUUUUCGAAAAUCUUCUUCUCUUGCAACUCACUGAAACUGUAAAUAAGAUUUAAUUACAUUAAACCAUUUUAUCCCUUCAAACCAGUUCAAAUUUAAGUUACCAAUUUUGAACAAAUUUUGUAAUCAAAAUUGAGAAGUAGUUUUGAGAAAAACUGAAAUUUCAAAACAGAAUUGCAGUGAAAAUUUUGAUGUCUUCUUUUAGUCGAAAAACCCACAAAUUAUUACCUUAAAAAUUGCAUGUUUAUAAAAUGAAUAAUAAAGUGGUGUGAAAUUAAUUUCAUGCGUGGCAUCGAAUAUUUUAAAACCAAAUAUAAUAGCUUUAUAAAUUGAUUAAAAAUUACCAUACUAAACUCAUAGAAAUUUUAUUUAAACCGAGUAACACGAGAAAAAACUCUUUGAGACCUCCGACAUGCUGGACCACAAUCUAACCUCGCAAAUUACCUGAAAGGGAAAAAAACUAAGGGAGUGAGCUGUACAAGCUCAGUGUGAGUCCAAAACAAAAACAAAAGGCAAUUGACAAAGUAUUGAAACAAAUAUUUCUGAUAUGUGCAUGCAAACAAUGUAUGAAUAACUUAUACUAGUAAUCAGUCUUACGAGUAGUUUCCAUUAACAAACAUAACAAAGUGAUAUUAUUUCAAACACACUAGUUACUUAAAACACGUUAGACUAUUUAAAGUAUUUUGCAAUUAACCCAACAAUCAAACAGACAAACUUAUACCCGAAUGUGAAAUGAAUGCAAUAAAUUAAAAAUCCCACCCAACCAACCAAAACACCACUCGGACCACAUUGCACACCACAAUCAGGUUAUAGUAGGCCCGUCCACCCUACACACCACAAUAGUAGAUCUAAGCCACCCAAAUGAAAAUAUGUAGAUGAUGAAAAUAUGUAGAUGAGCUGACAUAUAUAUAUUGUAGAUGUACCGCUAUCAAAUUAUUAUACAUUUUAACUGCUCAGAACAGUCUUCCUUCUCUUCACAACCAAAAUUCCGAAUUUUAAUGCAAAUGCAAAAGAAUGCACAAUCAUCAUGUAUAUGGACAUACUCAUAUUCAGAGCAACAAAACCAGAAUUCAACAUACCUGUAUUCAGUCAAAUGUAACCGUACACGUUUAUCACAAAGUCUUAAAAAUCACACCUAAACUUGUACAAAUAACAGAGCGUAAACCCCAUAAUAGAUACGCACUUACAAUUCAAUAUUACAUCUAAUAAUUGCAUAUAUAUAAUCAGAUUCAAUAGAAUUAAGAUCUCAUAUACUCCUACCAAACUUAAACUAGCACAGAAUCAUUCAAGGUCUAAAACGCACCGAUUUACUAAAAGGGUGCAAAAAUUGAAAAUUAGGGACACACCAAAUCAAGAUGAAAAAUGUGAAACUCACCAUCAAAUUGACCCCCAACUACUUUAAUUCAGAAACACACCUUAAAUCGAGACCCAAGGCACCAAGAACUAAUUGAUUCGCCUCCACAAAACCACUCUGGAAACUCAAUUACAAUUACCCACAAAAUAUUGUAAAACCUCUAUCAACAAUAUUGAGCAGGAAAAUCAAACUAAAAUUCAUAGGGAGUACUUACAUGUUUUAGCACUAAAACUAAUGAACAUGCAAAUCUCCUAACAAUGCAACCGAAACCAAGGCCUCAAGGAACCACCAAAGUUGCGCAAAAUUAGCAAACCUUGAUAAUCUAAUAGUGACAAGAGAAACUAAAGAACUAGAAAAUAAAGGCACCAUAAAAACUCAAUGGCCAAAAAGAACCAAAAAUUGAAACUGGAAAAGAAAGAAAGAAAGACAACAUGCGAGAGAGAAAGAGAAAAAAAUAGGAUAAGGUGAGUAGAAUUUUUGGGGAUUUCUUUCUUCUUAUUUUUUAAUAAAAAAAACUAAAACAAUUUUAAUUAAU